AGAAAACAAGAGACUUGUCAUCUAUUUUCUUCAGAACAGUGAAUUGCUCUUGGAAUGUGCUGUCAAAAGUGCCCAUCCCAGGUGUAGCAGAUGGAGUUCGUUUGCUUCAGAUUACUCUUUACAGCUGCCUGUGUGUGUCCAUAAGCCUCUGGAAAAUUGUGGUUUUGCCAUAUGCAGCUUGAACUCAGAGAACUUUACUCAGGUGGCCUGUCUUAACACUUGGUAUAAAUUGUCUGAUGCCCUGAACAAAUUGGCUAUUGCAUGAGACUUCAGUCUGCCUCAUUUUUAGUCCCCUCUCUCCCAAGUUCCACCACCAACAAGAGUGGUAAAGACAGCGCCUCAUAAAAUGGUAUAUGCCGACCAUCCCAGCGCUCGAGGGCGAGUGAAGGCCGGAGGAUCAGAAGUGCCCACUCUUCUUGGGCCACAUAGUGAAUUCAAGGCCAGCCAGGGCUCCGAGAGACCCAAGAGCCGGUUUCAAAACAAAACAAAAAACCCAAAUUAUUGGGGACUGGAGAGGUUGCUCAAUGUUUAAGAGCACUGGCUGCUCUUCCAGAGGAUUAGGGUUUGAUUCCCAGGACCCACUUGGUGCCUCACAACUGUCUGUAAUCCCAUUUCUAGGGGAUCUGAUACCCUCUUCUGGCCUCCACAGGCACCAGGCAUUCACACGUUGUGCAAAACAGCCCUACACAUAAAUAAAAAUGGAUAUUAAAAAUAACAAAUAAUGCUGGGCAGUGGUGGUGCACACCUUUAAUCCCAGGACCCAGGAGGUAGAGUCAGGCAGAUCUUUGUGAGCUAGAGGCCAGCCUGGUCUACAAAGCAACACAGAGAAACUGUGUCUCGGAAAAACCAAAAACCAAAUAAUUAGUCAAGGAGAUCACAAAAAUCCUUCAAACAUAUGAGCUAUUGUAGCCAUUGCUCUUGGUUUCCCACAAUAAUUGGCUGGUAACUCUUGCUAAAGACACCACACAUUUUGCUUCCAGAACACUGAUCAAGCUGGAACUGAGCUGAAAGGGGCUGUGCGGGCUGCUGUGGAGACAGCCAUCGAUGACACUGGCAGCACUGGACUCUUCGUACCCCAAUAGCAGCUUCAGGCAACAUGUGCCCGAGAUGUGACUAUAGUGUGAGGGCUACAGAGUAACCCCUUCCUGAUUAGAUUUAAGGUGUGCUCCACAGGACAGGGUAACCCCUUCCUGAUUAGAUUUAAGGUGUGCUCCACAGGACAGGGUAACCCCUUCCUGAUUAGAUUUAAGGUGUGCUCCACAGGACAGGGUAACCACUUCCUGAUUAGAUUUAAGGUUGUGCUCCACAGGAGAGAAUUCAUCCCUGGUACUGUAAACCUGUCAAGAUCCCAUGGCUUAGGACAGUGGCUCUCAACCUUUCAAUACAAUUCCUCCUGUUGUGGUGACCCCAGCCAUAAAAUUAUGUCAUUGCUACUUCAUUACUGUGAUUUUACUACUGUUAUGAAUGACAAUGUAGAUAGUCUGUUAUGCUACUCCCAGGAAACAAUCCCAAGGGUUGAGAACCACUGGCUUAUGAGUUCCUAGGUCCUGGGAAGAACAUAAAUGCUAAAUGGACUUUGUGGUGAUAUUUAUGAUCUAACAAAGCCCGUUAGUGUGAUCAGACUGCAAAGCUAGCCACACUAGGUGGCGCACACCUUUAAUCUCAGUGUUCGGGAGACAGAGACAGAUCUCUGUGAGUUCAAGGCCACCCUGAGCUACACGAACCUGAUCCAGCCUAAAAGAGAAACAGCUCACACAAAGAUGAGGUCAGCACUUGGAAUCCCAUGCCUUUAAUCCCAGCACUAGGGAGGGGGAUGUAAAUGGGAGGAGACAUGGCUCAGAGCAGUCUGAGGACAGGAUCCCACUUUCCAUCUGAGCCCUGGGAGAGGUGAGAACUCAAGCGACUGGCCACUUUGCUUCUCUGAUCUUCAACUUUAACCCCAACUAGAAUUCGUGCUACAGGACUUACCAGACGUUAUGUUUCUCUGAUAGCUUAGUGCUGCUUUCAACCUUAGCCAGAGGUUGCUGUCUGCUGUGAGCCUCAGUGCAGACUCAUUGGUCAAAGUGCUGAGCAUACGUGACUGCUAAGGACUCAGCCCUAAGUAGGACCUCUCUAUCAACACCCCCAGGUCGGGAAAUAUGAGAGAGGGAGCAGAAAGAGAGGAAGAGCUGGCGGAUGGGAGAGUGCUUGUGUCUGUCGACACAAGACAUAGCGGUUGCAGUCAUGGACAAAACCCCCCACAAGGUCAAGCCCAAAAGAUGAGUUAACAUUCUAGCCAGCAGCACUAAGUAAACUCAGUGGGCUGCCAAAAGGGGGGGGGACAUGUUAAAGGGUGUCAGAGGAAGUAGGAGGGAGAAUCUGGGGUGGCUAAGAUCAAGAUAGGCUGAAUACACAGAUGAAGUUGUCACAGAACAGAAAAAAGCAGCCAGUUGUGUCACUCAGUGGUGACAUGAAGCUCGUGCUUGACCUAUGCAAGGUGCUGGCUGGGUCUCUAGCAUGAAAAGCAUAAAGGACACGGCUGGCUCAGCAAGUAGGAACACAUGCUGCUCUUGCAGAAGACAUGGGUUCAGUUGUCAGCAUCCACGUAGUGGCUCACAACCAUCUAACUCUAGUCGCAGAGACUCUUGGCACCUCUUCUGGCAUCAGUGACACUGUGGUAUGCCGAGACACGGGAAAACAUCAUACA
Molecule: long non-coding RNA, 2686 nt
Filed under: Cricetulus griseus (Chinese hamster)
Lineage: Eukaryota; Metazoa; Chordata; Mammalia; Rodentia; Cricetidae
Description: lncRNA (ENSCGRG00015033552.1)
Source: RNAcentral